GGGUUGUGAGGUUAAGCGACUAAGCGUACACGGUGGAUGCCCUGGCAGUCAGAGGCGAUGAAGGACGUGCUAAUCUGCGAUAAGCGUCGGUAAGGUGAUAUGAACCGUUAUAACCGGCGAUUUCCGAAUGGGGAAACCCAGUGUGAUUCGUCACACUAUCAUUAACUGAAUCCAUAGGUUAAUGAGGCGAACCGGGGGAACUGAAACAUCUAAGUACCCCGAGGAAAAGAAAUCAACCGAGAUUCCCCCAGUAGCGGCGAGCGAACGGGGAGCAGCCCAGAGCCUGAAUCAGUGUGUGUGUUAGUGGAAGCGUCUGGAAAGGCGCGCGAUACAGGGUGACAGCCCCGUACACAAAAAUGCACAUGCUGUGAGCUCGAUGAGUAGGGCGGGACACGUGGUAUCCUGUCUGAAUAUGGGGGGACCAUCCUCCAAGGCUAAAUACUCCUGACUGACCGAUAGUGAACCAGUACCGUGAGGGAAAGGCGAAAAGAACCCCGGCGAGGGGAGUGAAAAAGAACCUGAAACCGUGUACGUACAAGCAGUGGGAGCACGCUUAGGCGUGUGACUGCGUACCUUUUGUAUAAUGGGUCAGCGACUUAUAUUCUGUAGCAAGGUUAACCGAAUAGGGGAGCCGAAGGGAAACCGAGUCUUAACUGGGCGUUAAGUUGCAGGGUAUAGACCCGAAACCCGGUGAUCUAGCCAUGGGCAGGUUGAAGGUUGGGUAACACUAACUGGAGGACCGAACCGACUAAUGUUGAAAAAUUAGCGGAUGACUUGUGGCUGGGGGUGAAAGGCCAAUCAAACCGGGAGAUAGCUGGUUCUCCCCGAAAGCUAUUUAGGUAGCGCCUCGUGAAUUCAUCUCCGGGGGUAGAGCACUGUUUCGGCAAGGGGGUCAUCCCGACUUACCAACCCGAUGCAAACUGCGAAUACCGGAGAAUGUUAUCACGGGAGACACACGGCGGGUGCUAACGUCCGUCGUGAAGAGGGAAACAACCCAGACCGCCAGCUAAGGUCCCAAAGUCAUGGUUAAGUGGGAAACGAUGUGGGAAGGCCCAGACAGCCAGGAUGUUGGCUUAGAAGCAGCCAUCAUUUAAAGAAAGCGUAAUAGCUCACUGGUCGAGUCGGCCUGCGCGGAAGAUGUAACGGGGCUAAACCAUGCACCGAAGCUGCGGCAGCGACGCUUAUGCGUUGUUGGGUAGGGGAGCGUUCUGUAAGCCUGUGAAGGUGUACUGUGAGGUAUGCUGGAGGUAUCAGAAGUGCGAAUGCUGACAUAAGUAACGAUAAAGCGGGUGAAAAGCCCGCUCGCCGGAAGACCAAGGGUUCCUGUCCAACGUUAAUCGGGGCAGGGUGAGUCGACCCCUAAGGCGAGGCCGAAAGGCGUAGUCGAUGGGAAACAGGUUAAUAUUCCUGUACUUGGUGUUACUGCGAAGGGGGGACGGAGAAGGCUAUGUUGGCCGGGCGACGGUUGUCCCGGUUUAAGCGUGUAGGCUGGUUUUCCAGGCAAAUCCGGAAAAUCAAGGCUGAGGCGUGAUGACGAGGCACUACGGUGCUGAAGCAACAAAUGCCCUGCUUCCAGGAAAAGCCUCUAAGCAUCAGGUAACAUCAAAUCGUACCCCAAACCGACACAGGUGGUCAGGUAGAGAAUACCAAGGCGCUUGAGAGAACUCGGGUGAAGGAACUAGGCAAAAUGGUGCCGUAACUUCGGGAGAAGGCACGCUGAUAUGUAGGUGAAGCGACUUGCUCGUGGAGCUGAAAUCAGUCGAAGAUACCAGCUGGCUGCAACUGUUUAUUAAAAACACAGCACUGUGCAAACACGAAAGUGGACGUAUACGGUGUGACGCCUGCCCGGUGCCGGAAGGUUAAUUGAUGGGGUCAGCGCAAGCGAAGCUCUUGAUCGAAGCCCCGGUAAACGGCGGCCGUAACUAUAACGGUCCUAAGGUAGCGAAAUUCCUUGUCGGGUAAGUUCCGACCUGCACGAAUGGCGUAAUGAUGGCCAGGCUGUCUCCACCCGAGACUCAGUGAAAUUGAACUCGCUGUGAAGAUGCAGUGUACCCGCGGCAAGACGGAAAGACCCCGUGAACCUUUACUAUAGCUUGACACUGAACAUUGAGCCUUGAUGUGUAGGAUAGGUGGGAGGCUUUGAAGUGUGGACGCCAGUCUGCAUGGAGCCGACCUUGAAAUACCACCCUUUAAUGUUUGAUGUUCUAACGUUGACCCGUAAUCCGGGUUGCGGACAGUGUCUGGUGGGUAGUUUGACUGGGGCGGUCUCCUCCUAAAGAGUAACGGAGGAGCACGAAGGUUGGCUAAUCCUGGUCGGACAUCAGGAGGUUAGUGCAAUGGCAUAAGCCAGCUUGACUGCGAGCGUGACGGCGCGAGCAGGUGCGAAAGCAGGUCAUAGUGAUCCGGUGGUUCUGAAUGGAAGGGCCAUCGCUCAACGGAUAAAAGGUACUCCGGGGAUAACAGGCUGAUACCGCCCAAGAGUUCAUAUCGACGGCGGUGUUUGGCACCUCGAUGUCGGCUCAUCACAUCCUGGGGCUGAAGUAGGUCCCAAGGGUAUGGCUGUUCGCCAUUUAAAGUGGUACGCGAGCUGGGUUUAGAACGUCGUGAGACAGUUCGGUCCCUAUCUGCCGUGGGCGCUGGAGAACUGAGGGGGGCUGCUCCUAGUACGAGAGGACCGGAGUGGACGCAUCACUGGUGUUCGGGUUGUCAUGCCAAUGGCACUGCCCGGUAGCUAAAUGCGGAAGAGAUAAGUGCUGAAAGCAUCUAAGCACGAAACUUGCCCCGAGAUGAGUUCUCCCUGACCCUUUAAGGGUCCUGAAGGAACGUUGAAGACGACGACGUUGAUAGGCCGGGUGUGUAAGCGCAGCGAUGCGUUGAGCUAACCGGUACUAAUGAACCGUGAGGCUUAACCUUACAACGCCGAAGCUGUU
RNAcentral lists this ribosomal RNA (2930 nucleotides) under Escherichia coli. Its description in RNAcentral is "bacterial LSU rRNA". It matches the Rfam family "Bacterial large subunit ribosomal RNA". The record is from RNAcentral. Lineage: Bacteria; Pseudomonadati; Pseudomonadota; Gammaproteobacteria; Enterobacterales; Enterobacteriaceae.